RNAcentral lists this long non-coding RNA (218 nucleotides) under Homo sapiens (human). RNAcentral's name for it is "HSALNT0250296". The record is from RNAcentral. Lineage: Eukaryota; Metazoa; Chordata; Mammalia; Primates; Hominidae.
AUUCAAAGGACACGAGGAUGAAUUAAAGGAUGACAAUCCAUGAAUUACACAGUAAACAAAUACUAUAUGUAUGAGACCGAUUCACUGUCACAAACCUGGAGAAGAAAACCCUUUUGAGGUUUAAAGCUGAGAGGGAGAUAAAAACUUGGUUGUACUACUUCUGGGAAAUGCUGAAGUUAUCCACGUGAUUUUCCAGUCACUGAUUAUUUUAGCAAAGU